Molecule: ribosomal RNA, 155 nt
Filed under: Xylaria areolata
Lineage: Eukaryota; Fungi; Ascomycota; Sordariomycetes; Xylariales; Xylariaceae
Description: 5.8S ribosomal RNA
Rfam family: 5.8S ribosomal RNA
About the family: 5.8S ribosomal RNA (5.8S rRNA) is a component of the large subunit of the eukaryotic ribosome. It is transcribed by RNA polymerase I as part of the 45S precursor that also contains 18S and 28S rRNA.
Source: RNAcentral
AACUUUCAACAACGGAUCUCUUGGUUCUGGCAUCGAUGAAGAACGCAGCGAAAUGCGAUAAGUAAUGUGAAUUGCAGAACUCAGUGAAUCAUCGAAUUUUUGAACGCACAUUGCGCCCGUUAGUAUUCUAGCGGGCAUGCCUGUUCGAGCGUCAU